AAAUUUAAGAGUUUGAUCCUGGCUCAGAACGAACGCUGGCGGCAGGCCUAACACAUGCAAGUCGAACGCACUCUUCGGAGUGAGUGGCAGACGGGUGAGUAACGCGUGGGAAUCUACCUAGUGGUGGGGGAUAACUUCGGGAAACCGGAGCUAAUACCCCAUAAGCCCUUCGGGGGAAAGUUUUUCGCCAUUAGAUGAGCCCGCGUUAGAUUAGCUAGUUGGUAGGGUAAUGGCCUACCAAGGCGACGAUCUAUAGCUGGUCUGAGAGGAUGAUCAGCCACACUGGGACUGAGACACGGCCCAGACUCCUACGGGAGGCAGCAGUGGGGAAUAUUGGACAAUGGGCGCAAGCCUGAUGCAGCCAUGCCGCGUGUGUGAU
This 379-nucleotide ribosomal RNA is filed under the name Hyphomicrobiales bacterium. RNAcentral describes it as "bacterial SSU rRNA". It matches the Rfam family "Bacterial small subunit ribosomal RNA", at positions 1 to 409 of the family's 1533-position model. Lineage: Bacteria; Pseudomonadati; Pseudomonadota; Alphaproteobacteria; Hyphomicrobiales. The record is from RNAcentral.